RNAcentral lists this transfer RNA (64 nucleotides) under Ictidomys tridecemlineatus (thirteen-lined ground squirrel). Its description in RNAcentral is "Spermophilus tridecemlineatus (thirteen-lined ground squirrel) tRNA". It matches the Rfam family "tRNA". From Rfam's summary of the family: Transfer RNA (tRNA) molecules are approximately 80 nucleotides in length. Their secondary structure includes four short double-helical elements and three loops (D, anti-codon, and T loops). Further hydrogen bonds mediate the characteristic L-shaped molecular structure. tRNAs have two regions of fundamental functional importance: the anti-codon, which is responsible for specific mRNA codon recognition, and the 3' end, to which the tRNAs corresponding amino acid is attached (by aminoacyl-tRNA synthetases). tRNAs cope with the degeneracy of the genetic code in two manners: having more than one tRNA (with a specific anti-codon) for a particular amino acid; and 'wobble' base-pairing, i.e. permitting non-standard base-pairing at the 3rd anti-codon position. The record is from Rfam by way of RNAcentral. Lineage: Eukaryota; Metazoa; Chordata; Mammalia; Rodentia; Sciuridae.
GGUGGCUCAGUGGUAGAGUGCUUGCCUAGCAUGCAUAAGGCACUGGGUUCAAUUCUCAGCACCA